AACGCACAUUGCGCCCGCCAGCAUUCUGGCGGGCAUGCCUGUUCGAGCGUCAUUUCGACCCUCAAGCCCCUAGCGGCUUGGUGUUGGGGUGUUUUCUACGGUUCUCAGCCGUAGGCCCCGAAAUCCAGUGGCGGGCCUGACGGGACCCCGAGCGCAGUAAUUUUCUCUCGCUUUGGGCGUCGCGGCGGGCGACUAGCCGUAAAACCCGCAGGUGCUCUUGUGGCCCUGUAACACACCAAGGUUGACCUCGGAUCAGGUAGGAAUACCCGCUGAACUUAA
This 279-nucleotide unclassified non-coding RNA is filed under the name uncultured fungus. RNAcentral's name for it is "partial contains 5.8S ribosomal RNA, internal transcribed spacer 2, and large subunit ribosomal RNA". The record is from RNAcentral. Lineage: Eukaryota; Fungi.